This 502-nucleotide ribosomal RNA is filed under the name uncultured bacterium. RNAcentral's name for it is "partial 16S ribosomal RNA". It matches the Rfam family "Bacterial small subunit ribosomal RNA", at positions 29 to 523 of the family's 1533-position model. The record is from RNAcentral.
AUUGAACGCUGGCGGCACGCUUAACACAUGCAAGUCGAGCGGUAACAUGACUAGUAGCAAUACUAGUUGAUGACGAGCGGCGGACGGGUGAGUAACACGUAGGAACUUGCCCAGUAGUGGGGGACAACCAAGGGAAACUUUGGCUAAUACCGCAUAUUCUCGAGAGAGGAAAGCUGCCGCAAGGUGGCGCUAUUGGAGAGGCCUGCGUCCGAUUAGCUAGUUGGUGAGGGAAAGGCUCACCAAGGCGAGGAUCGGUAACUGGUCUGAGAGGACGAGCAGUCACACUGGGACUGAGACACGGCCAAGAAUCCUACGGGAGGCAGCAGUGGGGAAUCUUGGACAAUGGGCGAAAGCCUGGUCCAGCAAUGCCGCGGGUGUGAAGAAGGCCUUCGGGUUGUAAAGCACUUUUGUCCGGAAAGAAAUGGCUCUGGUUAAUACCUGGGGUCGAUGACGGUACCGGAAGAAUAAGGACCGGCUAACUACGUGCCAGCCGCCGCCGUAA